GGGGGGAUUAGUGGCGAACGGGUGAGUAACACUUAGAGUAACCUGCCCUUGACUCUGGGAUAAGCCUGGGAAACUGGGUCUAAUACCGGAUAUGACCGUCUGACGCAUGUCAGGUGGUGGAAAGCUUUUGUGGUUUUGGAUGGACUCGCGGCCUAUCAGCUUGUUGGUGGGGUAAUGGCCUACCAAGGCGACGACGGGUAGCCGGCCUGAGAGGGUGACCGGCCACACUGGGACUGAGACACGGCCCAGACUCCUACGGGAGGCAGCAGUGGGGAAUAUUGCACAAUGGGCGCAAGCCUGAUGCAGCGACGCCGCGUGAGGGAUGACGGCCUUCGGGUUGUAAACCUCUUUCAGUAGGGAAGAAGCGAAAGUGACGGUACCUGCAGAAGAAGCGCCGGCUAACUACGUGCCAGCAGCCGCGGUAAUACGUAGGGCGCAAGCGUUAUCCGGAAUUAUUGGGCGUAAAGAGCUCGUAGGCGGUUUGUCGCGUCUGCUGUGAAAGACCGGGGCUCAACUCCGGUUCUGCAGUGGGUACGGGCAGACUAGAGUGCAGUAGGGGAGACUGGAAUUCCUGGUGUAGCGGUGAAAUGCGCAGAUAUCAGGAGGAACACCGAUGGCGAAGGCAGGUCUCUGGGCUGUAACUGACGCUGAGGAGCGAAAGCAUGGGGAGCGAACAGGAUUAGAUACCCUGGUAGUCCAUGCCGUAAACGUUGGGCACUAGGUGUGGGGGACAUUCCACGUUUUCCGCGCCGUAGCUAACGCAUUAAGUGCCCCGCCUGGGGAGUACGGCCGCAAGGCUAAAACUCAAAGGAAUUGACGGGGGCCCGCACAAGCGGCGGAGCAUGCGGAUUAAUUCGAUGCAACGCGAAGAACCUUACCAAGGCUUGACAUGAACCGGUAAUACCUGGAAACAGGUGCCCCGCUUGCGGUCGGUUUACAGGUGGUGCAUGGUUGUCGUCAGCUCGUGUCGUGAGAUGUUGGGUUAAGUCCCGCAACGAGCGCAACCCUCGUUCUAUGUUGCCAGCGCGUUAUGGCGGGGACUCAUAGGAGACUGCCGGGGUCAACUCGGAGGAAGGUGGGGACGACGUCAAAUCAUCAUGCCCCUUAUGUCUUGGGCUUCACGCAUGCUACAAUGGCCGGUACAAAGGGUUGCGAUACUGUGAGGUGGAGCUAAUCCCAAAAAGCCGGUCUCAGUUCGGAUUGGGGUCUGCAACUCGACCCCAUGAAGUCGGAGUCGCUAGUAAUCGCAGAUCAGCAACGCUGCGGUGAAUACGUUCCCGGGCCUUGUACACACCGCUAUAGUCGAA
Molecule: ribosomal RNA, 1307 nt
Filed under: Arthrobacter sp.
Lineage: Bacteria; Bacillati; Actinomycetota; Actinomycetes; Micrococcales; Micrococcaceae
Description: bacterial SSU rRNA
Rfam family: Bacterial small subunit ribosomal RNA
Source: RNAcentral